This 253-nucleotide ribosomal RNA is filed under the name uncultured bacterium. RNAcentral's name for it is "partial 16S ribosomal RNA". It matches the Rfam family "Bacterial small subunit ribosomal RNA", at positions 524 to 776 of the family's 1533-position model. The record is from RNAcentral.
UACGUAGGGGGCAAGCGUUGUCCGGAAUUAUUGGGCGUAAAGCGCGUGUAGGCGGCCAGAUAAGUCCGCUGUGAAAUCUCGAGGCUCAACUUCGAGCUGUCGGUGGAAACUGUCUGGCUAGAGUCCGGAAGAGGAGAAUGGAAUUCCUGGUGUAGCGGUGAAAUGCGCAGAUAUCAGGAAGAACACCCGCGGCGAAGGCGGUUCUCUGGGACGGUACUGACGCUGAGACGCGAAAGCGUGGGGAGCGAACAGG